GUUCAUGGGGUCACAAAGAGUCGGACACUACUGAGUGACUGAACUAAAUUGAACUGAUACUAAAAUUGGAAUGAUACAGAGAAGAUUAGUCUGGCCCUUGCACAAGGAUGGCAUGCAAAUUCACGAAGUGCUCCUUACUGUU
Molecule: small nuclear RNA, 142 nt
Organism: Bison bison bison
Lineage: Eukaryota; Metazoa; Chordata; Mammalia; Artiodactyla; Bovidae
Source: Ensembl